This 492-nucleotide ribosomal RNA is filed under the name uncultured bacterium. RNAcentral's name for it is "partial 16S ribosomal RNA". It matches the Rfam family "Bacterial small subunit ribosomal RNA", at positions 29 to 507 of the family's 1533-position model. The record is from RNAcentral.
AGUGAACGCUGGCGGUAGGCCUAACACAUGCAAGUCGAACGGCAGCACAGUAAGAGCUUGCUCUUACGGGUGGCGAGUGGCGGACGGGUGAGGAAUACAUCGUAAUCUACUUUUUCGUAGGGGAUAACGUAGGGAAACUUACGCUAAUACCGCAUACGACCUACGGGUGAAAGCAGGGGAUCUUCUGACCUUGCGCGAGUGAAUGAGCCGAUGUCGGAUUAGCUAGUUGGCGGGGUAAAGGCCCACCAAGGCGCCGAUCCGUAGCUGGUCUGAGUGGAUGAUCAGCCACCCUGGAAGUGAGACACGGUCCAGACUACUACGGGAGGCAGCAGUGUGGAAUAUUGGACAAUGGGCGCAAGCCUGAUCCAGCCAUACCGCGUGGGUGAAGAAGGCCUUCGGGUUGUAAAGACCUUUUGUUGGGAAAGAAAAGCAGCAGGUUAAUACCCCGCUGUUCUGACGGUAACCAAAGAAUAAGCACCGGCUAACUUCGUG